CGUGAUCAUUUCUUUUCUCUUUCUGUGCUCUCUUCUCUUUACCCCAUUUUAAACCAAGAAAGCCCUUCUGGCUUCUUUAUACCCUUGGAAGUCUGCGUCGGUGCUAAUGAUGACUCUGUCCCUGGAGCCAGCAAGUCUCAAAUGUGUACACAAUGCUCCAAACCAGGGCUUUGAGGAGACCAUAGCAGCCUUCAAAGAGACCCACACACACUCAGGGUCCAGCAGCUCACACCGUGGAUCAAAGGCAACAGAAGUUAUGGAAAAUUCUAAGCUGAAGAAUAGUAUGACUUCAGCAAGCCAGAGCCUUGGUCGGAAACAGAACUGUGAGAUGAGGAGAGGAGGAAGGUGUUGGUGAAGGUUUCAGAGCGUGAUCCAGACACCAGGAGGAGGAAAUGGAUCUGAACUCUGGUGGUGACAACGAUGGGGAGUUUGGAAGAGUAAAGGCAGACCUGAGCACUUCUGUGAAUGUCUCUCGAAGCUCCUUGUCUGGGAGCAUGGGUUCGUUCUGAGCCUGGACUUGGAGAACGGUGUAAUCAUAAACAGAAACAGUGUCACGAGGAGAAAAAGAGAGAGAACUCUGGGGAACGUGAUUUGGUUUGGCGUUUGUUUGGGAGAAAAGUGCUAGCAGAACAAUCAAAUAAAAUAUUUUAGCAGUCAGGCACAAUGCUCAGCCAACAUCAAAGUUUUCAAAAGCAUAGCGUGUGGAUAAUUAAACCCAUAAAGAACACUCCUAAACAACUGUUCAAGAAUUACCAGCUCUUGGGGAUGGGUGAUUUAUCCCAGGAGCUAUCCCCAGUUAACAAGUUCAUCCCUUUUUAUUCUUCUAGCCAAUAAAAGAGGGAAAAACGGGUUAAUUUUUUUGUAACAAAG
Molecule: long non-coding RNA, 870 nt
Filed under: Fukomys damarensis (Damara mole-rat)
Lineage: Eukaryota; Metazoa; Chordata; Mammalia; Rodentia; Bathyergidae
Description: lncRNA (ENSFDAG00000023649.1)
Source: RNAcentral